RNAcentral lists this ribosomal RNA (498 nucleotides) under uncultured bacterium. RNAcentral describes it as "partial 16S ribosomal RNA". It matches the Rfam family "Bacterial small subunit ribosomal RNA", at positions 30 to 523 of the family's 1533-position model. The record is from RNAcentral.
AUUGAACGCUGGCGGCAUGCUUUACACAUGCAAGUCGAACGGUAACAGGGUGCUUGCACCGCUGGCGAGUGGCGAACGGGUGAGUAAUGCGUCGGAACGUGCCGAGUAGUGGGGGAUAACGCAGCGAAAGUUGUGCUAAUACCGCAUACGUACUGAGGUAGAAAGCGGGGGACCUUCGGGCCUCACGCUAUUCGAGCGACCGACGUCUGAUUAGCUAGUAGGUGAGGUAAGGCUCACCUAGGCGACGAUCAGUAGCGGGUCUGAGAGGAUGAUCCGCCACACUGGGACUGAGACACGGCCCAGACUCCUACGGGAGGCAGCAGUGGGAAUUUUGGACAAUGGGCGAAAGCCUGAUCCAGCCAUGCCGCGUGUCCGAAGAAGGCCUUCGGGUUGUAAAGGACUUCUGUCAGGGAGGAAAUCCCUAGUGCUAAUAACACUGGGGGAUGACAGUACCUGAAGGAUAAGCACCGGCUAACUACGUGCCAGCAGCCGCGGUAA